GAUGAACGCUGGCGGCGUGCCUAAUACAUGCAAGUCGAGCGAAUGAUGAGGAGCUUGCUCCUCUGAUUUAGCGGCGGACGGGUGAGUAACACGUGGGUAAUCUGCCUGUAAGACGGGGAUAACUCCGGGAAACCGGGGCUAAUACCGGAUAAUAAGAGAAGAAGCAUUUCUUCUUUUUGAAAGUCGGUUUCGGCUGACACUUACAGAUGAGCCCGCGGCGCAUUAGCUAGUUGGUGAGGUAACGGCUCACCAAGGCGACGAUGCGUAGCCGACCUGAGAGGGUGAUCGGCCACACUGGGACUGAGACACGGCCCGGACUCCUACGGGAGGCAGCAGUAGGGAAUCUUCGGCAAUGGGCGAAAGCCUGACCGAGCAACGCCGCGUGAGCGAUGAAGGCCUUCGGGUCGUAAAGCUCUGUUGUUAGAGAAGAACAAGUACGAGAGUAACUGCUCGUACCUUGACGGUACCUAACCAGAAAGCCACGGCUAACUACGUGCCAGCCGCCGCCGUAA
Molecule: ribosomal RNA, 512 nt
Filed under: uncultured bacterium
Lineage: Bacteria
Description: partial 16S ribosomal RNA
Rfam family: Bacterial small subunit ribosomal RNA
Source: RNAcentral